CCUACGAGAGGCAGCAGUGAGGAAUAUUGGUCAAUGGGCGGGAGCCUGAACCAGCCAAGUCGCGUGAGGGAAGACGGUCCUAUGGAUUGUAAACCUCUUUAGGCGGGGAGCAAUGCCGGGCAAGUGUGCCCGGAGGGAUAGUACCCGCAGAAUCAGCAUCGGCUAACUCCGUGUCAGCAGCCGCGGUAAAACGGAGGGUGCGAUCGUUAUCCGUAUUUAUUGGGUUAAGGGGGUGCGUAGGCGGAUUGUUUGGUCAGCGGUAAAAUGUCCGGGCUCAAACGGGGCCGGCCUUUGAAACUGGGGAUCUUGAGUGGGCGAGAGGUAUGCGGAAUGCGUGGUGUAGCGGUGAAAUGCAUAGAUAUCACGCAGAACUCCGAGUGCGAAGGCAGCAUACCGGCGCCCGACUGACGCUGAGGCACGAAAGCGUGGGGAUCGAACAGGAUUAGAUACCCUUGUAGUC
RNAcentral lists this ribosomal RNA (460 nucleotides) under uncultured bacterium. RNAcentral describes it as "partial 16S ribosomal RNA". It matches the Rfam family "Bacterial small subunit ribosomal RNA", at positions 338 to 795 of the family's 1533-position model. The record is from RNAcentral.